GACGAACGCUGGCGGCGUGCUUAACACAUGCAAGUCGAACGGAAAGGCCCUGCUUUUGUGGGGUGCUCGAGUGGCGAACGGGUGAGUAACACGUGAGUAACCUGCCCUUGACUUUGGGAUAACUUCAGGAAACUGGGGCUAAUACCGGAUAGGAGCUCCUGCUGCAUGGUGGGGGUUGGACAGUUUCGGCGGUUGGGGAUGGACUCGCGGCUUAUCAGCUUGUUGGUGGGGUAGUGGCUUACCAAGGCUUUGACGGGUAGCCGGCCUGAGAGGGUGACCGGCCACAUUGGGACUGAGAUACGGCCCAGACUCCUACGGGAGGCAGCAGUGGGGAAUAUUGCACAAUGGGCGGAAGCCUGAUGCAGCAACGCCGCGUGAGGGAUGACGGCCUUCGGGUUGUAAACCGCUUUCGCCUGUGACGAAGCGUGAGUGACGGUAAUGGGUAAAGAAGCACCGGCUAACUACGUG
This 468-nucleotide ribosomal RNA is filed under the name uncultured bacterium. RNAcentral's name for it is "partial 16S ribosomal RNA". It matches the Rfam family "Bacterial small subunit ribosomal RNA", at positions 28 to 507 of the family's 1533-position model. The record is from RNAcentral.